GACGAACCGUGCAAACGUUGUUCGGAUUCACUGGGCUUAAAGGGCGCGUAGGCGGGUGGUCAAGUCAGGGGUGAAAUCUUUCAGCUUAACUGGAAAAUAGCUUCUGAUACUGACUGUCUUGAGUGGGGUAGGGGCAUGUGGAACUUCCGGUGGAGCGGUGAAAUGCGUAGAUAUCGGAAGGAACGCCGGUGGCGAAAGCGACGUGCUGGACCCUUUCUGACGCUGAGGCGCGAAAGCCAGGGGAGCAAACGGG
This 253-nucleotide ribosomal RNA is filed under the name uncultured bacterium. RNAcentral describes it as "partial 16S ribosomal RNA". It matches the Rfam family "Bacterial small subunit ribosomal RNA", at positions 524 to 776 of the family's 1533-position model. The record is from RNAcentral.